This is a non-coding RNA of Odocoileus virginianus texanus, 1300 nucleotides long. Lineage: Eukaryota; Metazoa; Chordata; Mammalia; Artiodactyla; Cervidae. The record is from RefSeq and is a predicted model, not a curated record.
UACAAGGCUGGGACCGCGCGAUAGGCCCUGAGGCCCCUUCGCCCAAGGGGGUUUUCCCUUCUCUGGGCCUCUGUUACCCACGGGGAGGAGGGACCCUUCUCUCUGGGAAGGAAGGAGGAAGGACCCCACUCUCUGGGAAUCAUUUGCCGGCCAAUAAUGCUGCAAUUCCCAAGCAAAAGAGGCCCUAUUGCUUUUUGUGACCACUGAGGUCCCAGGCAGAGCUCACAGGGGAAAGAGAAGAGGCCCAGGACCCCAGCUGAGGGACUGCCAAGGGACAGGAGGAGAAGGGCGUCUAGGAUUGUGUGGAGGGGUCCACAUAUCACUUGGCAAUAUAAGCAAAUUCUGGCUGGAGAAAUCUGACUCUCAGGGCGGUUCCGGAGAAAUGAGGCGGUGCCUGGGAAACUGAGGCACAGCCCCAAGGAGUCCAGCCCGGGGACCCGAGCCCGCAUCCCCAUCGCGGGCGCUGGACCAGACUGCGAAUGUCAGACUUCGGGUCAAAGCGACCUCAGGCCGCGGGCGCCUGGGCCUUCGCCACAGGACUUGGGAGUGGCCGUUGCUGCCCAAGCCGGGAAAGCUGGACCUUGACGGAAGAGGCCCGUGUGUCUGAGUGCUGUGCUGGGGGCUGACGCUGGCCGGAGCCAGCCCAGAGCCUCCCGGAGUCCAGGGUCUCAGGCUGGCGAGGAACCCGCCUGUGCUGUAGCGUAGACCCCCUUGGGCCUUGCCUGAGGACGAGAGGCUUGUCUCUGAGCUGCUGCCGGACUAGCCCUUACGCUCUGGAUCCGCGGCACCUUGGCCGAGCCUGAACCAGCAACUCAGACUUUUUCUGCUCCUUUCAGUUCUCUUCUCUUCUUUCCUUGUCCGGGCCCUGCCUUGACCUGCCUGCCCUCUCCACUGCAUCCCCUCUUCUGACCUUUCCCUAUCUCUCUCCAGCCUUCCUCUCAGUGGGGUGGGUCUGCCCUUCCUCUCAUCGUCCCCCAAGGAUCCCUUCUCCCCUCCCGCUGCCUCCUCACUUUCACCCGCUCAUCUUGCUGGGCCCUUCCUGACUCCAGCGGGCCUAACACCGCCGGUAGUGAGAUGCUAUCCGGGCAGGGAGCCCUCCUACCUUCUAGCAGGACCUCAGCCCAGGGAACUGACAUCCUCUAUACCCAGUGAUCCUCCAGCCAGUGAUCCGCCUGCCUGAGGGGCAGCGGGACCAGUUGGUUCGUUUUGAGUUCCAUUUCUGCUGUCUUUUGCCUCCAGCUGCGCUGUUAAUAAUUCGUUUGAAGCGGGCAAAAAAAUAAAAAAAUCACUUAGGACUAAU